Daucus carota subsp. sativus is the source of this 991-nucleotide long non-coding RNA. RefSeq lists it as uncharacterized. The transcript is spliced from 3 exons. The record is from RefSeq and is a predicted model, not a curated record. Lineage: Eukaryota; Viridiplantae; Streptophyta; Magnoliopsida; Apiales; Apiaceae.
AUUUCAAAUCCUGCAUUUGUUCAAAUCUACUGUUUGCCAAAUUCUAUAAAUUCUAGAUUUGGAUUUGUUCAAUUCCAUCAAAUUUAAACAAAAGCUAUAACAAAAUAAUUUGAAAUACUAGUCAGCAAAGUGUCAUUUGAAAUCAAAAAAUAGAAGACAAACUCCAUGCCUUCACUUCGGGCUGCUCGCUCAUCUUCUCUCCCUCGCCCCUCUUCUCUCCUGCCAUUAUUCCGUCUCCGCCGAAAAUUCAAAGAUUACUAAGCAUUUCAAAGUGUAUGUUAAGUAGUGUGUAUGGUGCGUGGUCAGUGUCUUACUUGUGUGUCUGACUAGAUUCUGUAUUUGUUGAAUAUAUUGAUGAGAAGUGGAGUGGUGAUAGCUCCUCGAUUCUCCCCUCUGAUCCUUAUGAUCGUGUUGUUGCGCGAUUCUGGGCUGCGUAUUUUGAUGACAAGGUGGUUCCAGUCCAGAGAGCGAAAGGGUGGCGUUGAUAGAGCAGCUAGCGGAAGGAUUGGUGCCGCUGGAGGAGGCUUUCAAGACAUGUAGCAAAGGGAAGAGCUACUUCGGGGGAGAUAACAUUGGUUACACUGAUAUUGCUGUUGGAAGCUUCAUUGGAUGGAUCAAGGCAAUCGAGAAAAUGAGUGGCAUCAAGGUUCUGGCUGAGGCAAAAACACCGGGCCUCGUCGGAUGGGUGACCAAGUUUCUGUCGACUGAUGCUGCUAAGAAAUUUGUUCCGGAGCCUGAAGUGUAUGUUGAGCUUCUUAAGAAGAUGCAUGCUUGAGCCUGAGCUGCAUAAAGGAACUGGGGGUGUGUCUGUUUGAUCCAAUAAGUGACUUGUGUUUUCUAGCAAGUUUAUGUAGUAUUAAAAUCAUAAGAUAAGUACAGAUUGCUUGUAAUAUUUGAAUUAUAAGUGUGAAGUACAUGUUAUAAUAAAGUAUUUACUCAUUUUAUCUUGGAUUUUAUUUGUAAUUUUGAAUGAGAUUAAAUAUUUAUCUCA